GGUUCCAUAGUGUAGCGGUUAGCACGCCUGCCUCAGAAGCAGAGAGUCCUGCGUUCGAUUCCCAGAGGAACCA
Non-coding RNA from Cynoglossus semilaevis (tongue sole), 73 nucleotides. The record is from the annotation of a RefSeq genome assembly. Lineage: Eukaryota; Metazoa; Chordata; Actinopteri; Pleuronectiformes; Cynoglossidae.